This 213-nucleotide unclassified non-coding RNA is filed under the name uncultured fungus. RNAcentral's name for it is "sequence contains ITS2". The record is from RNAcentral. Lineage: Eukaryota; Fungi.
UUGAACACCUCAAAAUCCGCUCUGGAUUUUGGAAAUGGGCUUUUUUGGAUGCUGGUAACGAACGAGUGUCGAAUCCAGCAGGCCUGAAAUAGAGAUAAAACGCAGGAACUGGGCGUGCAGGCCGGUCGCUGUUUGAGACGAAAUGGCUAUUAGUUGACAUGGUCAUCUUUGCCAAAUGUCUUUCGCGAACCGGGCAUGUUCAUCGUCCUCAAG